GGGCGUGUGGCUCAGUUGGUAGAGCGUUCGCUUAGCAUACUUUUCAUCCAUCAUGAUGCAAGGAUCCACUGUAUGCGAAAGGUCCUGGGUUCGAUUCCCAGCUCGUCCA
Molecule: non-coding RNA, 109 nt
Organism: Triangularia setosa
Lineage: Eukaryota; Fungi; Ascomycota; Sordariomycetes; Sordariales; Podosporaceae
Source: the annotation of a GenBank genome assembly